AAGGCCGAACGAUACUGGGCGACGCCAUGC
RNAcentral lists this non-coding RNA (30 nucleotides) under Mus musculus (house mouse). Lineage: Eukaryota; Metazoa; Chordata; Mammalia; Rodentia; Muridae. The record is from RNAcentral.